RNAcentral lists this ribosomal RNA (253 nucleotides) under uncultured bacterium. RNAcentral's name for it is "partial 16S ribosomal RNA". It matches the Rfam family "Bacterial small subunit ribosomal RNA", at positions 524 to 776 of the family's 1533-position model. The record is from RNAcentral.
GACGAACCGGACAAACGUUAUUCGGAAUCACUGGGCUUAAAGGGUGCGUAGGCGGCGCGGCAAGUUGGGUGUGAAAUCCCUCGGCUCAACCGAGGAAUAGCGCCCAAAACUGCCGUGCUCGAGGGAGACAGAGGUGAGUGGAACUUAGGGUGGAGCGGUGAAAUGCGUUGAUAUCCUAAGGAACUCCGGUGGCGAAAGCGACUCACUGGGUCUCUUCUGACGCUGAGGAACGAAAGCUAGGGGAGCGAACGGG